This is a long non-coding RNA of Dermochelys coriacea (leatherback sea turtle), 6275 nucleotides long. RefSeq lists it as uncharacterized. The transcript has 3 exons. The record is from RefSeq and is a predicted model, not a curated record. NCBI's taxonomy places the organism in Eukaryota, Metazoa, Chordata, Testudines, Dermochelyidae.
UUCAUAGACUUUGCCAAAUCUUUAAGUAAAUUUCUCCGAGGGUCAGGUUUCAUUAUGAACAUAUGCAUAGCUCUCCACAUUGCCUCAUAUUGACAAUUGUCUCCAUAAAACAGAAUCUUUGUAGCUCUUGUGUUGCUACAGGAACUAGUGCAAAGGAUUCUGAAGCACAUCCAGGAAUCAGAGGUGACAGAUAUACAUGGCUGAUCAGAAUACAUAAUCACUGUUUAUGAAGGGCAAUUAGUACAGUAGAAGAUCAGGUGCUGGUGUGGAAUAGCAAUCUGCCUGCUUGUUCCUUUCCCUCAGUCAGACCAAUCAUCUGCCCUCCACGGUCUGCCUGAAAAGCAGGGCCAGCAUGGGGAGCUGAGCAACACCAACCUGGGAGGCCGCUCAUGUUAACUACGAUGAAAAUCUACACUAUGUAUGACAAAUGGAAACCUAGGACUCCUGAGGUGAAAAGCUAAAGCAAUAAAAUAAAGGAACACUUAGCCCUCCAGAACAGUUAACAGGAUACAUUCCUUAUUAGUGGAAGAUACCACAACAAAGUCACUUCAGCCAAUAGAGUCCUACGGCCUGAGCACAGAGCUGGGAACCAGAAAACUCCAUUCUAAUCCUGGUCUAGGUAUUGACUUUCUCCUCUAUGGCCAAGACAAGACAUCAAUCAUCUCUUACUCCAUUUGACCAUCUGCAAAAUGAGGCUAAUAAUGCCUAUUUAUCUCAGAGUGGUAUUGUGAGGAUAAGAUAGGUCCCUGUGCUCCCUGCUGAUGGAUGGAGAGAAACACAAUACUGCUAACUGAAGAAGGGAAAUGUGACUAUGCAACACGUUGCUCUCUUCAUAGCUCUUCCAUACCAAGGACCUAACCCACUGAGGUAAAUGGAAAGAUUCCCAUUACUUUCAAUGGACUUUGGAGCAGGCCUUAGCACAGUACAUUUUGUUUAAGAGAAACCAGCAUGCAAGGUUGUCCUGAGAUGCAUUAGGUUUGGUCAUGAUUUUUCCAUUGCCGCUUCAGGGUCUUAUGAUCAGCUGGCUGCAGGGCCUACCCAGUUUUACUUCCACAGAACCAACCCCAGAGAGGAAAGCAUGCAGCAAAUUUGCAGAAAAUGAACCUGCAAAUGUUUUGGGGGACAUAUCAGCCAUGGAAAGAAGUUACUCACCUUGUGCAGUAACUAUGGUUCUUCGAGAUACGUCUCUCUAUGGGUGCUCCACAACUCACCCAGCUCCCCUCUACUUCAGAGUUCUCAUAAUAAACUCUGCAGUAGAAAAGGAACUCGUGGCAGAGCACAUGCAGGGUGCAACAUAUGUGGGAGUCAAACGGACACUGCUACUAAAAUUCUCCAAUUAGCAGCACAGGGUCGCAGACACACCUACAGUGGAAGGCCCAUAGAGACACUACUUGAAGAAGAAUGGGAACAUCCAUGACAUCACAGUGUCUAUAAUCUUCACUCCUAUUGACUUCAUAAAGCGUUCAAGUGUUUUAAGAUGUAGAACACUUUAAAGAACUAAGUAUUAUGUAAUGCUCUAUUUCUUACUAUAAGUGUUAAGUUUUUCUUUUCACACUAUGUUGUAUGCAUCACUGAACCAGAUCCUACAAACACUGAUUAGAUAUUUGCUUUUCAUAUUUUUGAAAAGAUAACAUAUAAUUGGCAGUUCUAUUUGCUAAUAUCUGAGAGUAAUAAACAACUAAUUCUUUAGUGAGAAUUACCACAUUUUUAUUUUUAAACAUAAAGUAAGGAAUUGUUCCAUUAUCUACUUAACACUUUUCUAUAAAUAGAGAAAUUCAGCAGUUACUAGUACAGCUAUUCAUUUAUCUGUGUUCAAAUGUUAAUGAAUAGAAAUGCCAUUUCUUUGUCUAAAUCUCACAAUCAUUUACAGUACCUUUGUAUUCCUUUAAUUAACUUAGCUCAUGCUUCCAUGUAAAAUGGAAUUAAUGCAAUGUAGUGAAGAGCAGUAAUGUACACACAUUCUAAAACCCAUAGUUGGGCCUAAGAAGUUAGCAGUGCAAAAAAAAUUCCAAGUAAGUUCAAACAACUUCUUAUAGUAGCUUUUUAUUUUCAUUUGCAAUGUAGCUUUGCCACUGUAAAACUCGAGUGCUGAUGUAACAAAAUGAAUUUGUGGAGCAUGCCAAAAGCAGCAUUUCUGCAUGUGCAAGCCGGAUUUUUGCAUGUGCAAUACUAACUUUAAGUAAUUUUAGCCCCCCCCAAAAUAUAUUCUGAAAUCCAUAAUGACUUAACAUAUCUUAAGAGUAAAAGAUGAAGAAAUGGACUGAUAAGCUCUCUCAAUCUAAAGUACUUUUGAAGUAUGGGGAGCAUCAUUCUAAUGUCACUUCCCCACCAGCACUUAUCAAGAAAAACACUAAACUCAACUGAAUUAAACCAAUGUAAAACCAGUUCAAGUAAAAUCAGAAUCAAGCCCAGUAAAUCUAACAAGAUCUCAAAGACUUCAACUGAGAUGGUGAACUAUAACUCUAUAAUAAAUAUAACCACAAGCUCUGGGAUCUGCAUAUGUUGAUUUAAAAAGAUACAAAGUGUGUCUCAUGCUUGCUGUGUGCCCAGUUUUGUUAUAAGAACAUCCUCAGCUUUAUUAUUCAGCAGUAUUGUCAAUAAGGAGAUCAUAGCCUAUUAAUAUAAUGCUGAAGCUCAGCCAGUAUUUAUAGUUCAAAAGCUGUCUGAGUUCACUUCAUUGACAUUUUGUUCUGACAACUGGGUAUAUUUUGAUCAAACAAUGCCUCAAGAACUAGGACAACUAAACCUGCUAAGCAACUGUAAAAUAUCUGGUUUUAAAUAGUUUGCAAAAAUAGGUACAGGGUAAGAAAAGAAAGUAUCAGUAAAUAGGUCAGAAUUCAAUAGCGCUUGGAGUUGAAGAGACUAAAUGUCUGUGGUUUCUUUAUGGAAAAAAAUUGUGCUUUCAGACAAAUUCUUUUCUCUUAUAGUUGUUUAAGUCUAAAACCAAACCACGAUCAAAUAAGGAGCAACCACCCACCUACAUAUUCCCUCAAUAAACCUCAAGUAAUACAGAAUAGAAAGCUGUGGUGGAACAGUAAAGUCAGCGGCAGUACAGUGUGGGUGAGACAUGUUGCAACACAGCUUUGGUGUGCAUUAUAUACUGUAACUUGAACUGUAUUUGGUCCCUACCCAUGGCAAAACUACAUAUCACCCAUUGUUUAGCAGUUUAGUAGAUGGAGAAUUUCAUUUAAGUUACUGUCAGUCCAUCCAUUUCCUGAAAAUGUAUAUUACCACCCUGAUUGGGCAUACCUAUUUCUGAGAGAUCCAUUUCUUUUUCAUAGUUACAAGACUUUUGUUCAUUGUCUUAAUUAUGGAAUUCCCUCCUCUCAAAUCAUUACUGUCCCAAACUUUGGAUUAAAUUUUUGUCCAGUUUUACAUAUACAACUGGGUUGUGCAUUGUCUUAGGGAAAGAGUCAAAUUAUGCCCAAUGUGGUUGAAUGGCUUUAACUGUGAGAUUCAGAUCAGAUCAUGACACUCAUGCAUUGUGAAAAGCUCUCUGAUUCCCAUAAAGAAAUGCUGGAAUAUGCAGCAUUGGGGCAUAACCAUUACCUACUGAGUCACCAGACCUCUCAACUGUAUUGUGUUACAUGGUACUUCAUAUUUUAGUACCACUUCUCACUCCCUGAGAUGGUGUACUCCAUAUGAGAUGAGACACACAGAAGAGUGCCUAUCAGGAAGGUGGAAUGGAGGAAAGAGUGGGAGUGCCUGUAUGUGGUGGAGUCCUUGCAUGUGUGUAGUGAUACCUCACCAUAUACAGGCACUGAAAGGCACAGGGAGGAGUUGUGAGCGCCUGCUGCUAGCACCACCACUUUCUUCCUGGCAAAUCCAGGAGCCGCUGCCUCUGUACAUUCCAAAGCAAUUGAAAGGUCUGUAAAUGAGAGGGCAGAAACAGGCAGAAAGCAAAGAUGAGAGCAAAUAUGGGGAGAAGAAGAGGAGUAAACGACAGAAGAAAACUGAGGAGGGAACAAAGGGAGCAAACAAGGGGUGAGCAAAGGAGGAGGAGCAAACCGGUGUUCCCCAUUUUGGUCCGUGUCACACGUUUUGAUGACUCAUGUCACAUAUUGGCAAGUCUGAGUUAAGGUGAAUCCAGAAUUCCCAAUCCACUUUAAUAUUGUGCAGUUUUCUUUGUUUUAGACUUGUAUAUAUAUUUACUAUAAUAUGAUGUUUGACAUUGCCAGUCAUAACUGACUUUGUAAGGGAGAGCAGAAGUACUGGGUACUUGUUUGCACAAUUUGAAAUACUGUGUGGACUGUACAUUAAUUAAUCCCUUCAUCAAAAAUGCCAUUUAUAUGAAUGCCCCACACUUUGCUGUUGUUAAAUCUAGUGACUGUGAAGGUAAGCAAUGAACGUUAAGGAGAAGCACAUUCCCAGUCUAAGAGUUUAGGGAACCAGGAGCUCUUCUCUAACAAUGAAUUCAUAAUAGCAAUAAUUAACAUACCCUACAAACUCGACUUCAGGCUAAGAUUCAAGUCACGGGAACAGAAGAUUAUAAAAAUAUGUCAGAAUAUCAUCAUCAGAAGUAAUUUAUGUGAACAGAUGAUUCGAAAAACAUCCCACUGCUUCACAGAACACCAACAGAGCAACCUCUGUGUGAUCACAUUACAAUCACACAUGAACAAUCAGCCAGCAGAAUUUUGAAUAAGUUGCAACUUCAGGCAAAGCAGCAGGAAAACCUAUAAAAGGCAAAUUACCAGAAUGCAGCUGAAAAGUGGCAAAAGACACAAACAAGAAACAAUUGCUUUAUUGGGCUGGUGAGUUUUAGGCAAUUAAGAUGUAAUAGUAAAACUGGAUGAUAAAGAGUUGUUACAGCCCUAGCUGAGCUCCCCCUUUGCAGACAAUCACCAAGCUUCUGGACCCAAAGCCUUGAAUCCCAUGUGCUCUUAAGCUUACUGAGUCUGAGCAGCAUCCAGACACUGGCUCUAUAUCCAGCCUUUCAUGCACACUCCUGGAAUACAGACUCCAAUGCUGGUACCCCUUUCUAGAAUGUGGGGCCCUGCAGCUCAACUGCCUUAGGCCCCCAAGACAAGUAUGGAUUUAAGUCUCCCCAGUAACUUUUGUAUGCCCUCUCCAUAGCUCCACCCUGAUGGGCACUCUGGAUUAAAACUUCACCCUUUCGGGACUUCGUGACAGUUACAGCAAGUAACACAGAGACUUUGCAAAGGCACCUUUAAACCAAUCCCGGGUUACUGAAAGACAACGAACAAGAGAUAUACAGAUCUAUGGAAAGAUAAGCACUUGUCUCAUUUUCCACAUCCCUCCUCAAAGUUUUUUGUGUCUUAGUCUUCUUCCAGGGAGUCAAGGAUUCUUCUGCACCCUCACUCCUCUUUCUGGUUUUGGUCUGCCCACCUUGAAAGAGUCUCCCUUUUAUGAAGUUUGUUAGGUGAACCCCACUGCGUGGCUUCAAGUUUAUUGCCAGCUGAUUCGUUGCUUAGCUCCAGCCCACCUGAAGUGCACAUUGGGAAAACUGGUUCCCCCUGGGCUGCAGCAAGCUCAUUGUUCUUGGGUGCUUCCAUUUGAUUGCUCUCCAUUAUUAGCCCUCCCACAUGCAAGGAUUUCCCGUGACACUUCCCAGGUGUCACUUCACUCCUCAAGAUGGAGGCUAUAGUGCCAAAGUGAAGGCAUAGUAUGGUUUAACAAUUAAUAUGCCCAUUCACAAAAUAGAAGACAUAUAGAAACAUAUACUAAUCUAUCUCAAGGGUAUCAAGGGAAAGCCCUACUGAUAAAUUCAGCUCUUAAAUAAGAAAAAAAAUACAAUGAAUUUGGUAUACAUAGUACACUUGAUUUUGAAACUGCUAGUUGCUAGAAUGUUAAUGGCCAAUUUUCUUUUUCUUCUGUUUGUAAACAUGAUAUAUUAUAUUUAGAAGUUCCUUUGUUAUUUGUGCAACAAAAAUAGCCUAACUUUAUCUGAUAACUGUUCCCUGAAUUUAUUAUUUAAAUCUGACUCAUCACAAAGAAGAACUGCCAAAUGGACCAACACCCUUUGGGACACUUACCCUGAGGUUGAGCCAGAACAGUAGGAAAAAUGUGAAUUAAAUGAAAUGAAUUAAUAAACUGGAAAUGGAGUAUGUGCCUUUUUAUGCAGAAUAUGCUUUUUUUUGGCUUGUGGAACAUAAGGAAUAUCCUGUUAUGAAAAACAAAUAAAAAAAGAAGAACUAGGUGCACACUCACAAGCACUCCUAAAUGUUUGUAGUUUUGCUAUUCUGUUGCCUAUAUUUCCUCUUCCUGCAGUGUUUACAGUUUUUAUAACAAUGGAAAAGUCAAUAAAAAGAAUGAUU